Molecule: ribosomal RNA, 254 nt
Filed under: uncultured bacterium
Lineage: Bacteria
Description: partial 16S ribosomal RNA
Rfam family: Bacterial small subunit ribosomal RNA
Source: RNAcentral
UACGGAGGGCGCGAGCGUUGUCCGGAAUCACUGGGCGUAAAGGGCGCGUAGGCGGCCCUGGGAGGUCUGCGGUGAAAGCCCGGGGCUCAACCCCGGGUCGGCCGCGGGUACUGCCGGGCUGGAGUGCCGUAGGGGCAGGCGGAAUUCCGGGUGUAGCGGUGGAAUGCGUAGAGAUCCGGAGGAACACCGACGGCGAAGGCAGCGCCCUGGACGAGACCUGACGCUCAGGCACGAAAGCUGGGGGAGCAAACAGG